CGCGGGGUGGAGCAGCUCGGUAGCUCGUCGUGCUCAUAACCCGAAGGUCGCAGGUUCAAAUCCUGCCCCCGCCACCA
This 77-nucleotide transfer RNA is filed under the name Acidimicrobiales bacterium. RNAcentral describes it as "tRNA-Met". It matches the Rfam family "tRNA". From Rfam's summary of the family: Transfer RNA (tRNA) molecules are approximately 80 nucleotides in length. Their secondary structure includes four short double-helical elements and three loops (D, anti-codon, and T loops). Further hydrogen bonds mediate the characteristic L-shaped molecular structure. tRNAs have two regions of fundamental functional importance: the anti-codon, which is responsible for specific mRNA codon recognition, and the 3' end, to which the tRNAs corresponding amino acid is attached (by aminoacyl-tRNA synthetases). tRNAs cope with the degeneracy of the genetic code in two manners: having more than one tRNA (with a specific anti-codon) for a particular amino acid; and 'wobble' base-pairing, i.e. permitting non-standard base-pairing at the 3rd anti-codon position. Lineage: Bacteria; Bacillati; Actinomycetota; Acidimicrobiia; Acidimicrobiales. The record is from RNAcentral.